GUUAAAAAGCUCGUAGUUGGAUCUCGGCGGACUGAGGGCGGUUUGCUUGCUAGUAUUACUGCCCUAUAGUCCGUAGUUUUGCCAGAGGUUUCGAGGUGCUCUUAAUCGAGUGUCCCGGGAUGCUGGCAGGUUUACUUUGAAAAAAUUAGAGUGCUCAAAGCAGGCUAUUACGCCUGAAUAUUCGUGCAUGGAAUAAUAGAAUAGGAAGUCGUUUCUAUUUUGUUGGUUUUCGGAAAUCGACUUAAUGAUUAAUAGGGACAGUCGGGGGCAUUUGUAUUCAAACGACAGAGGUGAAAUUCUUGGACCGUUUGAAGACAAACUACUGCGAAAGCAUUUGCCAAGAAUGUUUUCAUUAAUCAAGAACGAAAGUUAAAGGUUCGAAGGCGAUUAGAUACCGCCCUAGUUUUAACCAUAAACGAUGCCAGCUAGCGAUCUGCGGACGUUUUUUUUGUAGACUCCGCAGGAAGCUUCCGGGAAACCAAAGCAUUUGGGUUCCAGGGGAAGUAUGGUUGCAAAGCUGAAACUUAAAGGAAUUGACGGAAGGGCACCACCAGGAGUGGAGCCUGUGGCUUAAUUUGACUCAACACGGGAAAUCUCACCAGGCCCGGACACUGGAAGGAUUGACAGAUUGAUAGCUCUUCCUUGAUCCGGUGGUGGGUGGUGCAUGGCCGUUCUUAAUUGGUGGAGUGAUUGGCUGGUUAAUCCGAUACGAACGAAAC
This 719-nucleotide ribosomal RNA is filed under the name uncultured marine eukaryote. Its description in RNAcentral is "SSU rRNA". It matches the Rfam family "Eukaryotic small subunit ribosomal RNA", at positions 618 to 1341 of the family's 1831-position model. The record is from RNAcentral.